UCUCCGUAGGUGAACCUGCGGAGGGAUCAUUACUGAGUUCAUGCCCUAACGGGUAGAUCUCCCACCCUAUGUUAUCAUCACUUUGUUGCUUUGGCGGGCCGUCAGGCCUCGGCUUGGCUACCGGCUCUCGCUGGUAAGCGCCCGCCAGAGAACCCCAAACCCUGAAUAUCAGUGUCGUCUGAGUACUAUAUAAUAGUUAAAACUUUCAACAACGGAUCUCUUGGUUCUG
This 229-nucleotide unclassified non-coding RNA is filed under the name plant metagenome. Its description in RNAcentral is "partial contains small subunit ribosomal RNA, internal transcribed spacer 1, and 5.8S ribosomal RNA". The record is from RNAcentral.